RNAcentral lists this ribosomal RNA (253 nucleotides) under uncultured bacterium. RNAcentral's name for it is "partial 16S ribosomal RNA". It matches the Rfam family "Bacterial small subunit ribosomal RNA", at positions 524 to 776 of the family's 1533-position model. The record is from RNAcentral.
UACAGAGGGGGCAAGCGUUGUUCGGAAUUACUGGGCGUAAAGGGCGCGUAGGCGGCCGCCUAAGUCAGACGUGAAAUCCCUCGGCUCAACCGGGGAACUGCGUCUGAUACUGGGAGGCUUGAAUCCGGGAGAGGAAUGUGGAAUUCCAGGUGUAGCGGUGAAAUGCGUAGAUAUCUGGAGGAACACCGGUGGCGAAGGCGGCAUUCUGGACCGGUAUUGACGCUGAGGCGCGAAAGCCAGGGGAGCAAACGGG